RNAcentral lists this ribosomal RNA (305 nucleotides) under uncultured bacterium. RNAcentral describes it as "bacterial SSU rRNA". It matches the Rfam family "Bacterial small subunit ribosomal RNA", at positions 333 to 636 of the family's 1533-position model. The record is from RNAcentral.
AUUGGCCUAGGGGCGCCGCCGUGCGGCCUAUUGGUCACUGGGCGCGGGCCUGAACCAGCCAAGUCGCGUGAGGGAAGACGGUCCUAUGGAUUGUAAACCUCUUUUGUCGGGGAGCAAAAAGGCCUCGUGAGGCCACAAGUGAGAGUACCCGAAGAAAAAGCAUCGGCUAACUCCGUGCCAGCAGCCGCGGUAAUACGGAGGAUGCGAGCGUUAUUCGGAUUUAUUGGGUUUAAAGGGUGCGUAGGCGGACUGGAAAGUCAGCGGUAAAAUCGAGAGGCUCAACCUCUUUCCGCCGUUGAAACUGU